UACGGAGGGUGCAAGCGUUGUCCGGAUUUAUUGGGUUUAAAGGGUGCGUAGGCGGUUCCAUAAGUCAGUGGUGAAAUACGGCAGCUCAACUGUCGAGGUGCCAUUGAUACUGCGGAACUUGAGUACUGAUGAGGUAGGCGGAAUUGACGGUGUAGCGGUGAAAUGCUUAGAUAUCGUCAAGAACACCGAUAGCGAAGGCAGCUUACCAAGCAGUAACUGACGCUGAGGCACGAAAGUGCGGGGAUCAAACAGG
RNAcentral lists this ribosomal RNA (253 nucleotides) under uncultured bacterium. RNAcentral's name for it is "partial 16S ribosomal RNA". It matches the Rfam family "Bacterial small subunit ribosomal RNA", at positions 524 to 776 of the family's 1533-position model. The record is from RNAcentral.